CCUAAACAAAAAAAUGAUCAAUAUAUUAAACUAUUAAAUUGAAAUGCUUUAAGUUAAUUACUUUUGUAGUAAUGUUUGGUCACCUAUAUCUAUAGAAUGAUUUUUAUAUGGUUGAGAUUCAACAGGUCAACCAUCUUUGCUUAUGUUUUCAUGAGCCGUUCAGAUCAGCUGAAAUCGGAAGGUAUGAAGGGAUGGACUGCGUUGGCUGCACCGCAAGAACAUUGGCCAACUAUCGCAUAAACUAGUCCGUCAAAGUCCGGCACGACCUUAUGGGCCAUUCAUACAACGGAGAAUGGAAGGUGGAUGGUUCUCUGUGGAAAUAGGCUAUAAAACAAUAAAAUCUUCCAAUCCACUGACUCGAUUUUAACAAAACAUAUAAAAAAUGAUCAUGAUGAGAAGUACAAUUAAGGGAUGUAGUUGUUAAAUUUAAAGACUUCCUUUUUAAGCUUGUCCCUUUUUUAUAUUUAGCAUCAAAGCGUUGCCAGUUGUCAUAAUUGGAGGUGUUGGAGGUCGUAACAUGCUCUUAUCCAUAUAUAGACACUAUUAAGUUAUUUGGGAGGAAUUCUUUAUAACCUGCUCGAGGCAUAUUUGUAAUUUAUUUGAUUUUUGAGACAUCCAUCGGUUUGAUUGACCUCAACAUCUUAGAAAGACGUAGUAAUUAAUUAAAAUUAGCGUUAAAAUUACUUUAUUCAUAAAAACAAUUUAUUUCUGAGACAUCUAUUGGAUUGAUGGACUUGUAAUUAAUGUAUAAAUAGUUCAAAAAUUUGCCCCUUUGAGAAUGCGUGCAUGUUGGCAAACCUACUAUGAAAGACGUAUUAAUAAAAAUAGAAGUUAUCGUCGAAAAUUGUGCGUUAAUUUGUCGGAUGUUGAAGUUCUCAGCAGGCGUGGCCAGUGUUUCCACGUG
Drosophila gunungcola (fruit fly) is the source of this 904-nucleotide long non-coding RNA. RefSeq lists it as uncharacterized. The transcript is spliced from 3 exons. The record is from RefSeq and is a predicted model, not a curated record. Lineage: Eukaryota; Metazoa; Arthropoda; Insecta; Diptera; Drosophilidae.